CCUGUGUAUCAGGGCUCCUGCUGCCUGACCAAACACGCUGAUAAGCGACGCCUCGUCUUCAGAUACGACCUCUGGCUGAGAAGAGAGGGGGGGCUGAGCGGAGGGCGUCCGGAAGAACUCACACUUCUGUUUGUCCUCCCAGGAUUUAAGGGUGCUCUCAAACGCCUGAAAGAUGCAAAGACACACAGAUGGUGAAGCUCUGGUAGAGUAACGGUACGACUGGUUGCUUGUGGUGCCAAAUUGCGCUUAACAAGAUAUUUGUCAGCUUUUGUGAGUCAAUCUUUACGUAUAGUCGACUGCACACAGGGCUCAAGGACACACACUCGUCUCACAGCUUGAACCCUCCUGGGUACAUUUCCAAUCAUAAAGUAUUGUAUAUGCUACCAAUCAAUUAAAGGCCACCACACAUAGUUCUCAAAGUAAAUGCUUGUGUAUUAACAAUUAAUGGGCAUACAAUAUAAUACACAGUCAUUCCGGUUUGGGGGGCUGAGCCGGGAAAGGAACAAAAUAAUUGUCCAGCACAAAAAGAGUCUCACUGCUUUACUGUAGUGUCAAAAGUUAUGGACUGUUCAGUCUAGUAAAUCCAGUCCGACCAUUACUUUACCACGGAAGCUUUCUCCGCGUCUGAAUACGCUCCAGGAUCUCGUCCUGGCAACUUUCCGCGCUCAACAACCGGAUCGCUCGUAACGCAGACUUUAGUUCGCCCACAUUCCCCUUUUGUCACCCUUUCAGUUGUACUGUGUCUCUGGUGAGGGUCUGGGUACUACCCGGUCUCUGGUGAGGGUCUGGGGUAGUACUGUGUCACUGGUGAUGGUCUAGUACUCACCCG
Molecule: long non-coding RNA, 829 nt
Organism: Gasterosteus aculeatus aculeatus (three-spined stickleback)
Lineage: Eukaryota; Metazoa; Chordata; Actinopteri; Perciformes; Gasterosteidae
Source: Ensembl